UCCGGCAUGGUGUAGCGGUAACAUAGGUGCCUUUCAUUCGUCGAAGUGGUCGAAGUGGUCGCACUAGCCCGGGGUUCGACUCCCCGUACCGGAA
This is a non-coding RNA of Mycena filopes, 94 nucleotides long. Lineage: Eukaryota; Fungi; Basidiomycota; Agaricomycetes; Agaricales; Mycenaceae. The record is from the annotation of a GenBank genome assembly.